Molecule: transfer RNA, 67 nt
Filed under: Camelus bactrianus (Bactrian camel)
Lineage: Eukaryota; Metazoa; Chordata; Mammalia; Artiodactyla; Camelidae
Also listed under: 2 other names
Rfam family: tRNA
About the family: Transfer RNA (tRNA) molecules are approximately 80 nucleotides in length. Their secondary structure includes four short double-helical elements and three loops (D, anti-codon, and T loops).
Source: Rfam by way of RNAcentral
AGGUGUAGCUCAGAGGUAGAGUGUGUGCUUAGCAUGCACGAGGUCCUGGGUUCAAUCCUCGGUACCU